This is a long non-coding RNA of Toxorhynchites rutilus septentrionalis, 1598 nucleotides long. RefSeq lists it as uncharacterized. The record is from RefSeq and is a predicted model, not a curated record. NCBI's taxonomy places the organism in Eukaryota, Metazoa, Arthropoda, Insecta, Diptera, Culicidae. The transcript is spliced from 4 exons.
CGGCCAUGUUCAGCUGUCAUUAUGCUCUCAAAUGUCAUCGUAUUGUCAAUAAAUUUGACCGUGUGAGGUCCGCUUAACUGUGUGUGCGCGCAACCGCCAUUUCUCUAAUGGAAGCGAAGCGAUUUGGAGCCUAAAAUUGUAGAAUCCAUAGCAAAAGUUUCAUGUAGCCGUAAGCGUUUAGAGGCCAAAACGGCGGAUGUCGCCGUAACAAUUGAUUGAUGAUCCGAUUAUUGUUUGAUUUUUCCCCUCAUUCUAUUGUCCGCAGAUCGCAACCAACAGCAGCAAUGGACCGCCUCUCGAUGGAUUUGUUGUUCCAGGAAACAAUGGAUAUCAGUUGGGUCAAUCGUACCGUCAGCAGCGAGGAAACCAACAACAACCAUUUCACACUGAGCAAUCAACAGCUAAAAAGACUACCAGCACCGAUUCGGACAACAUCGACUCGGAUGAGAAGCAGCAGCAACAGUGCAGAUUGUCGAUGUUAUUCCAAUAAUAUACUGUCUGUAGCAAAAACUCCACUAGCUAAUGAACGAUAUGCUACGGCGAAAGUUCCAAAAUUUCAAACACAGCGUCACGACAACAUUAAUUCUACAGCAGUACUUGGCGACGGAACCCAGCGAAAACCAUUACCAUCACUACCAUCGACAGCAGCCCACUAAUCCAUCCAUCGAAGGAUCGGAGCGAUAUGUGUCCUAUUUGCCACACAAUUUCCUCCACAAAUCACGACUUCACGGAGCUCAACAACAGAAAAUCUGCGUCUGAGGAUGCCUGGGAGAGUCAGUUUGCGUGGUAAAUUUGCUUCAAGGCGCUUCGUUGCUGGCUCGGUACAUGCUGCCUCCGCUCGAACUUGGAGCGUCACAUCAAACAGUAACAUCUUUAAUUCUGGUCGUAUUGUCAGCGCGGAGGCAAUCAUUAGAAGCGCGGUUGGAGCAUUCGAUCGGCAAUCAAGCAAUCCGCCAAAGGAAGGACGUAGACAAAGGUAAAGAUCCAUUGGUCAUUGGUGAAGGCGGUCAAUAGUGGCAAUAAUGACGAUUUGGUGCCGGUUUCGAAACCGGUCGACAGCGCUACGAACCUUGGCCAUUUUAGAUAAAUUUCGUAAUUUGGUGUUCCGCUGUCACAAGAUUAAAACGACGAGCAGGUGCUGCUGACUUCCGGCUCGGUAUGUGGCUGGGUGGAGAAUUUCUUAUUAAAUUUAAAGAACAAGUACUGCCAAUUUUGAUCCACAAUGAUCAAUCCGCAUGUGACUAAACUGAGAGAUUUUUUCACUAUGCAGCUUCCAUUGGGAUUUCCAGUAAAAAUAGAAAUAACGCUGUUUCAUGUGUUGAACGCGGUUAUCAUAUUUGACAACGUAUUCGAAUAAGAGAUAACUGUGACCAGCGUGAGCCCCAUCAAAGAAAGCGAAUAGCGUACGAGAUGCACUAUCGAGGGUUACUGUUUCGAUGUCCCGUUCGAGUACGUACGACGUGGUGCCGAUUUCCGGCGUCAAAUAAUCUUCGAAGAUGAGAACGAGUUGAUGCAAUUUGCGAUCCAGCAAAAUUUCGCAAGUGUCCUAAAAAGCACACUUCUAAGUACUGUGAUACUCAACUCGCUCGCUAAAAGCC